GGCCUACCAUGGUGGUAACGGGUAACGGGGUGUUAGGGCACGACACCGGAGAGGGAGCCUGAGAAACGGCUACCACAUCCAAGGAUGGCAGCAGGCGCGCAAAUUACCCAAUCCCGACACGGGGAGGUAGUGACAAUAAAUAACAAUACGGGGUUCUUUAGGAUCUCGUAAUUGGAAUGAGUACAAUUUAAAUCUCUUAACGAGGAACAAUUGGAGGGCAAGUCUGGUGCCAGCAGCCGCGGUAAUUCCAGCUCCAAUAGCGUAUAUUAAAGUUGUUGCAGUUAAAAAGCUCGUAGUUGAAUUUCGGGGUUAGUAGGCUGGUCAUGCCACCGGUAUGUACUGGUCUUACUGAUUCCUCCUUCCUGAUGAACUGUAAUGCCAUUAAUUUGGUGUCACGGGGAAUUAGGACUGUUACCUUGAAAAAAUUAGAGUGUUUAAAGCAGGCUCACGCUUGAAUACAUUAGCAUGGAAUAAUGAAAUAGGACAUCCGAUUCUAUUUUGUUGGUUUCUAGGAUCGAUGUAAUGAUUAAUAGGGAUAGUUGGGGGCAUUAGUAUUCAAUUGUCAGAGGUGAAAUUCUUGGAUUUAUUGAAGACUAACUACUGCGAAAGCAUUUGCCAAGGAUGUUUUCAUUAAUCAAGAACGAAAGUUAGGGGAUCGAAGACGAUCAGAUACCGUCGUAGUCUUAACCAUAAACUAUGCCGACUAGGGAUCGGAUGAUGUUAAUUUUUUAAUGACUCAUUCGGCGCCUUAA
This 752-nucleotide ribosomal RNA is filed under the name uncultured Glomeromycotina. RNAcentral describes it as "SSU rRNA". It matches the Rfam family "Eukaryotic small subunit ribosomal RNA", at positions 338 to 1091 of the family's 1831-position model. The record is from RNAcentral. Lineage: Eukaryota; Fungi; Glomeromycota.